Molecule: non-coding RNA, 1039 nt
Organism: Vicugna pacos (alpaca)
Lineage: Eukaryota; Metazoa; Chordata; Mammalia; Artiodactyla; Camelidae
Source: RefSeq, a predicted model, not a curated record
UUGAAGCACACACCUGGUCUUACAGCAUCCACUUGGAGAUGAGUCUGAUCACUUCUGCCCAUAUUACUUGGCAAAAGCUGGACACACAGCGGAUGCUCAGAAAUCUGCUGAAUGAAGGAGUGCCACAAAGAACAAAAUCUGCUGUUUGGAGCUCACCCCCCAGGGGGCAAUGGAAGGACAAAGGGUGUUGUAGACUCUCCCAGGGUGAUUACGCAACGUGAAGGAGAGGCCUGCUUUUUGCAGGUGUGUGGGGCAGGUGGGGGAUACAGCCGCCAGGCCAAGCUCUUGUUUCAAGAUGAGGAUGAAGAGGAAAUAGCCUGAGAGCCCCCAUUCCCCAUCCCCUCCUCCAGAGGCUCUUCUGAGCUGGCCUCUAUCCACCUCCAGGGUGGAAGCCGGAUAAGACAGUGGGGCACGGGGCCCCUGUGCUUUCAUCGGUUCUGGCCUGCCUGUCCCUGCCUGGGGCCUGGGCACGUCCACAGCUGAACAAGAUGUGGCAGGAAACCAUGAAUCAAGGGGGUGAGGGUAUUAAAGAAGUCAAGCUGACUUCUGGGUCUAAAUCCCUUUCCCUCUCCUUCCAGGCUUGCUCUGGCCUGUCCGUGCCUGGCGGAGUCCAGAGGCUGCCCCCAGCUCUGCCUUUCAAAUUGCUCCGGGAGGUGGGUGGUAGGUGUGAGAACCCAGGGCUGGCUGGGCACGCAGAGGAGAGUCAGAAUCCGGGGUCAGUACUGUUAGCUGCAGGAGCGGGUGUCCUUUCUGCAGCAAUACUUUUAGAGAAGGGGGUGUUUUCUCUGCAGGACAUUAAUCGGUAAGAAGCAGCAGGGCAUUGGGCAAGGGUCAGCAAACUCUUCCUGUAAAGAGCCAGAUAGUAAAUAUUUUAUGCUUUGAGGGCUAUGCAGUCUCUCCUGAAAAGACUCCAACUCCUCUGUUACAGCACAAAAGCAGCCAGACAAUACAUACAUGACGAGAUGUAGCUGCAUUCUAAUAAAGCUUUAUUCAUGGACACUGGAACUGGAAUAUCAUAUAAUUUUCAUGUGUCACAAAA